RNAcentral lists this long non-coding RNA (540 nucleotides) under Anas platyrhynchos platyrhynchos (common mallard). Its description in RNAcentral is "lncRNA (ENSAPLG00000028304.1)". Lineage: Eukaryota; Metazoa; Chordata; Aves; Anseriformes; Anatidae. The record is from RNAcentral.
AAGUGGACAAGUUCUGUAUGUUCUCUUUAUUAAAUAUACUUGAGAUACUAUUUUAUACUUAUUGUUUUUUUCUAAAGGUCAACUACCAUCUUCAGCAGAUUAAGACUUCCUUGAAUAGUAUGCAAGAAAAUUAUGAAGAUUCCUUCAAAGCAUGAUUUCCGUGGUGACUGCAGAAGCAGGACAGUGCCUGUGGGACAUGGAUUUAGAAACUCCAAAGUGGUGCAAAGAACGUCUGACAAGCCUGAGCAACUGAAGAGUUGAGGCAGCCGCUUACGGAACCGCAAUGUGGGUAACACCACAGUCUGAUGAAGAACAGAGAAACUCUCAUUUGUUUUCAACUAAUGAGCUAAAGAAGCUGAACUAUCAAUUAUGGAAAUAUUACAUAUGAAUGAUAACUGUUAUUGCUCCCUGUCUAAUAAAAUAGUGAUUUUGCUGGUGGACAACUCCAGAAUUAAUCCAGCUGUCUUCAGUGUUUUAGAUCCCUUGGUGUGCCGAGUUUUUCAUUGCCAAACAGUUGAAUACCACAAACAUCGUAGGUGA